UUUUACCCUUCACCCGGAUCCAUCAUCAGCCGUCCAUUUUCUUUCAAUUCUUCACACGGAUCGUGAUCUGACGGAUGAUUUUGUUUUCACACGGAUCCACCUUUCCCCUUCCUUCUCUCCCAUCUCUCUCACAACUCACAUCUCACCAGAUCUUUUCAUCAACCUUCUCUCUCUCUCUCUCUCUCUCUCUGUGGCGACUCAAGCACAUGCCAACGAUUAGGGUUUUUGUAAGAACCGCCACCAUCAUGACUCUGGCAGCGGCUGCUUGUGGUGUUUGAUGUGUAAAUUGGUGAUUUGAACUUAACGGCGGAGGAAAUGUGAAAAAUUAGGGUUCCGCUAGAACCUCAGGCGACGACGACAUAAGCAACAACAAGCAAUUGACUCCGAUGAUGAAGAAUACCAAGACAAUACGUCCACAAACAACCCCUGUCUGGUGAGAUUCGGCCUUUUAAAAUGUCUUCUCAAGGUUUUGGAGCAAUUGAGUGGCCAUUCCCCUGUUUUUUCCAAGGAAAAGUUAAGAUGGUCGGUUCUUGGAAUCGCGAUACUUGCUGCGGUUGUCGGAAGCCAAGCUAUCAUCUUCGGUUUUCGUGACACCAAACAUAUAAGCAAUGCAACAGAGUGUUUUUGUUUUUUGAGGAUCCCACAAACCAGCAGGUGUUUUUAUUUUUGGCUCGUAUAGAAAGCCGAGAGAAAUAGCUGGGUGCAGAAGGAGCUGUUUGCAACUUUGAGCAUCAUCUUGGUGACCGUAGUUUGUUCACUAGGGCUUCCAGUGAUUAUGCCAUCGUUAGCAGUAAGAAUCCUUAUAAUGGCACCACUAGACAUGGAUGUACUUGACCGUCCCACUUGCGCCAUACACUUGUGAAAGAUUAAUAAGGGCUGAUAUACUCUGGCUUCUAACAACAGAGUUCCACACUAUCUAUUGGGUACAAUUAGCCCCAUGGUUUAGUUUACUGCAAAGGAUUUGCGAUUCCUAUCUUUGAAGAUGAGGAAAAUCAACCUAGGCCCAGGACAGUGGAAACAACUGAACCGGAAAAAAGGCUAAAUCUGCUUCAUUUUUGAGAAAUUAGUGCAGAGAUACUAAGGUGACAUAAAGUCCCAUUACCUAAUUAUAUCAUAUUUGGCCCGAAGGUUUUACGGGACGCGAGAGCAUGUUCAGGUGUGUUCUAAGAAAUAUUUUAUAACAUGGAUCAGUUUGGUUUUCAUAUGGAUUGUUACUUUACACAUGUUUUAUAGUUGUUUUUUCGUAUUUUUAACCGGUUUGCAUUCCCCAUUGAAAGUGAAUACAAAAAGCAUCGGCCUAUUUUAAUAUGAAUGGGCGUUGGUGUUAGUUCGAGAGUUAAACGAUGAUGAUCAGUAGCUGUUAUGGAAGUUUCAUAAAAAAUUUCGGGUCGCAGUCAAACUGGUCAACUAUGUCAACAGUGUCUGGUCAACAUUUGAGUCUGGUCAACUGGGUCGACACGAGUCUGUUACGAGAUCAUGGGAAUGUAUAAGUGCGCCAAUAAAUUAUUUAAAAUUACGUAUCUGUUUUGGGUUUGGGGCAUUGGUGCUUCUUGUUGAUAUGGGUCAUUUGAUUGCUGCUGGAUGAUGAUUAGAUUUAGGACCUUAGAUAUGGAACGGUACCAUGCUAGCAAAUGGAUAUUG
Molecule: long non-coding RNA, 1641 nt
Organism: Helianthus annuus (common sunflower)
Lineage: Eukaryota; Viridiplantae; Streptophyta; Magnoliopsida; Asterales; Asteraceae
Exons: 10
Source: RefSeq, a predicted model, not a curated record